GCCCGCUAGAUGGCAGGGACGGCAGUUCCACCUUGCCGGAAACACACAGAUGACUAAACCAUCGCAGAUGCCUAAGUAAACCUUAGUAUUCUACGCCCAAGGUGACUACAGUCUCGGCAAAAUGUCGAGCAUAAAACAGGUGAUCAACGAUGCGGUGGAGAAAGGUAAGGAGGUGUACGAAAAAGUACGGCAGCCUAAUCCCAUCCGCCUACGGGAUCUGAUAAGGCAGAUUCGGUCAGCCAAGACUGCAGCAGAGGAGCGAGCAGUAGUAAACAGGGAAUGUGCAUACAUCCGCCUCACUUUCAGGGAAGAAGAUUCUGUAUGGCGAUGUAGAAAUGUUGCCAAACUUUUGUACAUACACAUGCUUGGGUAAGUUAUGUUGUCAUUUAAGCAAAUAUUACUUGCUCUUUUCAAAUGUCUGGAGGCCAAGAUUACUAAUGAAAGUACUUUAGGUGUAAAGUAUACUAAGUUAUACCAUAUAAGGCAUCUAUUUUUCCCCAUUUCUAAAGAAUGGCCAACAUCCACACUCAACCCUCGGCUAUCACGUCUAAAGUUGCACAGUAUAGCUGUGCUAUUGCCAAAAUAGGGAAUGCAAUGUUAACCCCCUCG
Long non-coding RNA from Eriocheir sinensis (Chinese mitten crab), 609 nucleotides. RefSeq lists it as uncharacterized. The record is from RefSeq and is a predicted model, not a curated record. The transcript has 3 exons. Lineage: Eukaryota; Metazoa; Arthropoda; Malacostraca; Decapoda; Varunidae.